GAUGAAGAUCGCAGCGAAAUGCGAUACGUAAUGUGAAUUGCAGAAUUCAGUGAAUCAUCGAAUCUUUGAACGCAUAUUGCGCUCUCUGGUAUUCCGGAGAGCAUGCUUGUUUGAGUAUCAGUAAACACCUCAACUCUUUUUUCUUUUUUGAAAUUGGAGCUGGACUUGAGUGAUCCCAACGCUUUCUUCCAAGAAAGUGGCGGGUUGCUUGAAAUGCAGGUGCAGCUGAACUUUUCUCUGAGCUAUAAGCAUAUCUAUUUAGUCUGCCUAAAAAACAGAUUAUUACCUUUGCUGCAGCUAACAUAAAGGAGACUAGUUCUUGUGCUGACUGAUGCAGGAUUCACAGAGACAGCUUCGGCUGACUUUGUAAACUCGAUCUCAAAUCAAGUAAGACUACCCGCUGAACUUAAGCAUAUCAAUAAGCGGAGGA
Molecule: unclassified non-coding RNA, 430 nt
Filed under: soil metagenome
Description: partial contains 5.8S ribosomal RNA, internal transcribed spacer 2, and large subunit ribosomal RNA
Rfam family: 5.8S ribosomal RNA (bases 1-120)
Source: RNAcentral